Molecule: small RNA, 102 nt
Filed under: Salvator merianae (Argentine black and white tegu)
Lineage: Eukaryota; Metazoa; Chordata; Lepidosauria; Squamata; Teiidae
Description: 7SK RNA (ENSSMRG00000012717.1)
Rfam family: 7SK RNA
About the family: 7SK was discovered as an abundant small nuclear RNA in the mid-70s but a possible function has only recently been suggested.
Source: Rfam by way of RNAcentral
UGUCAGGGCGAUCUGGUUGCAGAGUCUGGCACCCCACUAAUCGCCAGAGUUGAUUUGGCUGAUCUGACCAACUAGGCAGGUAUCCCCUUCCUCCCUCACUGC